Molecule: long non-coding RNA, 1312 nt
Organism: Myotis brandtii (Brandt's bat)
Lineage: Eukaryota; Metazoa; Chordata; Mammalia; Chiroptera; Vespertilionidae
Exons: 4
Source: RefSeq, a predicted model, not a curated record
AAGCUGCGGAGUGCUCAAUACCUUUUAAAGAAAUUUCCCAUAGAGUGUGGCAUUUCACAAAGAAAGAUUUGGUUAUUAUCUUUCCUUUGUUUCUUCUUUUUUUCAGGUGAAAAGGAAAAAAUGAAGCCAAGAGUGUUUCUCAGUUGUCACCCCUGUUCCGUGUGAGAAGGGACUGCACAAGGACAUGAACACCAGGAGGCAAAUCACUGGAGGUCCGUUUUGGAGUCUGGGUACCACUCCCUGUAUAUCACAGACUCUGUCCUAUUCAACAAUAUCCCUUGCGGCCAGGAAAGUACCUGACACUCAAUGAAUGUUUGAUUAAUAGGAGACUAACGGCUCCACUUCCCUAGUGACAGCCACUGUUGGGGACUCCGACCUGCACUGGAAGAAGUUGGCCUGGGAUUACGCAAGUCUUUGAGAGCUUCCUCAAUUCAAGCGUACAAAAUGAUGCCCUCAGGAAGCUUCCUCAUUCUUGGAGCGGCACCCUCUGAACCUCUGCGCCUCCCAGGCCACUGCCACAGGGAAGAGGUGGUCAUCUAGGCAAACUGAAUUGCAAGGAAAGCUGGGGACUCUAGGGAAUGACAAUGAGUACUUUGAACACUGUCUCUGGCAUGGAAGUAGUGGAUCAAAAGGCUUCAUUUAUGUAGACAACAAUCCUUCCAAAGACCAUGCGUGUUUUCAUUGGAAACAACCGAUAAAGAAGUCAACAGACUCUGGAAUUGACAUCUGUGUUUCAACAUUUGCCCAAGAAAAAUAAGUUGCACCUUUAUAAUGACAUACUCCUGUGUAAAAUAUCAAUUAUGAUUAAUUUAAAAUAAUAUCAUUGGACAUAAUAAUUCUUUUAAAGUAGUAUGGACAAAGUAUUUAGAGUAUUUAGAACUGUAUAAUAACUGCUAUGCAUAAGCUCUCUUUCAGAUCAGAAACUUUAAACAUUUAGACAUGAAGCACACCAAAUAAGGGAGACAUAAGACAAGGCUGCUGUAUCCAUGGGCCCAUGGAGUGUCAUUUGUGGUUUCUGCAUGUGAGUGGUGUGAUGCAGGGUCAUUCAAAAUGAGAAAGGUGGACUUUUCCCUGGAGUUGUGCAAUACAGCAGCCCCAAGCAAAAAGCUGGGAAAAUAUUCAUUUUAAUCUUUAUUGGAAAACAUUUGCCUUAGGAACUGUCAUUAAGCACUCUCAAGAAGAGAGCAAACGUGCAGAUAAAUUAGAGAGAAUUUUUGUCUAAAGCCUUCUGUUGGAGAUCAGGUAAAAAAAAAAAACGCAACCUAAUAAGAUAAUUUAGCUGCUGGGCUGAAAAUGUGAGUAAGCAUAGAAA